UACAGAGGUCUCGAGCGUUAAUCGGAGUCACUGGGCUUAAAGGGUGCGUAGGCGGACUCGCAAGUGCUUUGUGAAAUCCCACGGCUCAACCGUGGAAUUGCUCGGCAGACUGCGGGUCUUGAGGUCGGUAGGGGCCGCCGGAACUCUAGGUGGAGCGGUGAAAUGCGUAGAUAUCUAGAGGAACGCCAAAGGUGAAGACAGGCGGCUGGGCCGAUUCUGACGCUGAGGCACGAAAGCGUGGGGAGCGAACGGG
Molecule: ribosomal RNA, 253 nt
Filed under: uncultured bacterium
Lineage: Bacteria
Description: partial 16S ribosomal RNA
Rfam family: Bacterial small subunit ribosomal RNA
Source: RNAcentral